UUCAUGCCUUCAAAACCAGUACCACCG
RNAcentral lists this non-coding RNA (27 nucleotides) under Mus musculus (house mouse). Lineage: Eukaryota; Metazoa; Chordata; Mammalia; Rodentia; Muridae. The record is from RNAcentral.